GACGAACGCUGGCGGCGUGCUUAACACAUGCAAGUCGAACGGAAAGGCCCUGCUUUUGUGGGGUGCUCGAGUGGCGAACGGGUGAGUAACACGUGAGUAACCUGCCCUUGACUUUGGGAUAACUUCAGGAAACUGGGGCUAAUACCGGAUAGGAGCUCCUGCUGCAUGGUGGGGGUUGGAAAGUUUCGGCGGUUGGGGAUGGACUCGCGGCUUAUCAGCUUGUUGGUGGGGUAGUGGCUUACCAAGGCUUUGACGGGUAGCCGGCCUGAGAGGGUGACCGGCAACAUUGGGACUGAGAUACGGCCCAGCCUCCUACGGGAGGAAGCAGUGGGGAAUAUUGCACAAUGGGCGGAAGCCUGAUGAAGCAACGCGGCGUGCGGGAUGACGGCCUUCGGGUUGAAACCCGCUUUCGCCUGUGACGAAGCGUGAGUGACGGUAAUGGGUAAAGAAGCACCGGCUAACUACGU
Molecule: ribosomal RNA, 467 nt
Filed under: uncultured bacterium
Lineage: Bacteria
Description: partial 16S ribosomal RNA
Rfam family: Bacterial small subunit ribosomal RNA
Source: RNAcentral